This 328-nucleotide ribosomal RNA is filed under the name uncultured eukaryote. RNAcentral's name for it is "partial 18S ribosomal RNA". It matches the Rfam family "Eukaryotic small subunit ribosomal RNA", at positions 1470 to 1796 of the family's 1831-position model. The record is from RNAcentral.
CCCUUAGAUGUCCUGGGCCGCACGCGCGUUACACUGAUGCAUUCAACGAGCUUAUAACCUUGGCCGAGAGGCCUGGGCAAUCUUGUUAACGUGCAUCGUGAUAGGGAUAGAUUAUUGAAAUUAUUAAUCUUGAACGAGGAAUUCCUAGUAAACGCAGAUCAUCAAUCUGCAUUGAUUACGUCCCUGCCCUUUGUACACACCGCUCGUCGCACCUACCGAUUGGAUGGUCCGGUGAAGCCUCGGGAUUGUGGUUCUUGCCGCUUUAUUGUGGCGUGACCGCGAGAACUUGUCUAAACCUUAUCAUCUAGAGGAAGGUGAAGUCGUAACA